Molecule: long non-coding RNA, 171 nt
Organism: Xenia sp. Carnegie-2017
Lineage: Eukaryota; Metazoa; Cnidaria; Anthozoa; Malacalcyonacea; Xeniidae
Exons: 3
Source: RefSeq, a predicted model, not a curated record
GCAGAGUAAAUGGGGAAAUUAUCUAUACGUUCAAACAUGGUAUCCAUAUAUCUAUAUCUAUAUAUAAAUAUAUUCAUAGUUUUGGAUGUUUAUCAACGUACGAACCUGUCAUUUUAAGUAUGGAAAAAAUAUAUCACAAUCAUAAGAAAAUUGUAAUCUUUAAGUUUCUAA